Long non-coding RNA from Leopardus geoffroyi (Geoffroy's cat), 423 nucleotides. RefSeq lists it as uncharacterized. The transcript has 3 exons. Lineage: Eukaryota; Metazoa; Chordata; Mammalia; Carnivora; Felidae. The record is from RefSeq and is a predicted model, not a curated record.
CAGGUGUGGCACAAGCCCGCGAGGCGACGGGGACGUGCGCGCGCGCGGCGCGCUGGGGAGGAGGAGCGGGGCCUCGCAAGGAGGGGGCUGCGCACCCCGACGCGGGGGUGGGGCGGGCAGGCCGCCGGUCGUUACCGGCCAGGGUCUACCGCAGGUCGACCCCAGACGCCCGGGGACGUGGGCCUGGUGUCCCCAGUUCACAGCCUGCUGCUCCGAGACGUUGAGCUACAGCUCCAGGGGUCACAGAGCAGACGGGCCCCCCAGUCUCCCGACCCCAGAUGAAAACUGAAGAACAGAUCACACAAGCACAGGGCAAAGCGGGGCCUCCGUGAAGUGGCCCGCGUGCUGGGAAGGAACCAGAGAAGGCUUGCAGGAAAACUGGCCUUCCCACAGCAGGGCGUGUGAAACAGAGCAGCUCCCGGG